GAUGAACGCUGGCGGCGUGCCUAAUACAUGCAAGUCGAGCGAACAGACGAGGAGCUUGCUCCUCUGACGUUAGCGGCGGACGGGUGAGUAACACGUGGAUAACCUACCUAUAAGACUGGGAUAACUUCGGGAAACCGGAGCUAAUACCGGAUAAUAUAUUGAACCGCAUGGUUCAAUAGUGAAAGACGGUUUUGCUGUCACUUAUAGAUGGAUCCGCGCCGCAUUAGCUAGUUGGUAAGGUAACGGCUUACCAAGGCAACGAUGCGUAGCCGACCUGAGAGGGUGAUCGGCCACACUGGAACUGAGCCACGGUCCAGACUCCUACAGGAGGCAGCAGUAGGGAAUCUUCCGCAAUGGGCGAAAGCUUGACGGAGCAACGCCGCGUGAGUGAUGAAGGUCUUCGGAUCGUAAAACUCUGUUAUUAGGGAAGAACAAAUGUGUAAGUAACUAUGCACGUCUUGACGGUACCUAAUCAGAAAGCCACGGCUAACUACGUG
RNAcentral lists this ribosomal RNA (497 nucleotides) under uncultured bacterium. RNAcentral's name for it is "partial 16S ribosomal RNA". It matches the Rfam family "Bacterial small subunit ribosomal RNA", at positions 28 to 507 of the family's 1533-position model. The record is from RNAcentral.